This 351-nucleotide ribosomal RNA is filed under the name uncultured bacterium. Its description in RNAcentral is "bacterial SSU rRNA". It matches the Rfam family "Bacterial small subunit ribosomal RNA", at positions 29 to 412 of the family's 1533-position model. The record is from RNAcentral.
AACGAACGCUGGCGGCAGGCUUAACACAUGCAAGUCGAACGCCCCGCAAGGGGAGUGGCAGACGGGUGAGUAACGCGUGGGAAUCUACCCAGUUCUACGGAACAACACAGGGAAACUUGUGCUAAUACCGUAUACGCCUACGGGGGAAAGAUUUAUCGGAAUUGGAUGAGCCCGCGUUGGAUUAGCUAGUUGGUGAGGUAAUGGCUCACCAAGGCGACGAUCCAUAGCUGGUCUGAGAGGAUGAUCAGCACACUGGGACUGAGACACGGCCCAGACUCCUACGGAGGCAGCAGUGGGGAAUAUUGGACAAUGGGCGCAAGCCUGAUCCAGCCAUGCCGCGUGAGUGAUGAA